GACGAACGCUGGCGGCGUGCUUAACACAUGCAAGCCGAACGGUAAGGCCCUUCGGGGUACACGAGUGGCGAACGGGUGAGUAACACGUGGGUGAUCUGCCCUGCACUUCGGGAUAAGCCUGGGAAACUGGGUCUAAUACCGGAUAGGACCACUGCCUGCAUGGGUGGUGGUGGAAAGCUUUUGCGGUGUGGGAUGGGCCCGCGGCCUAUCAGCUUGUUGGUGGGGUGAUGGCCUACCAAGGCGACGACGGGUAGCCGGCCUGAGAGGGUGACCGGCCACACUGGGACUGGGAUGCGGCCCAGAGUCCUACGGGAGGCAGCAGUGGGGAAUAUUGCACAAUGGGCGCAAGCCUGAUGCAGCGACGCCGCGUGAGGGAUGACGGCCUUCGGGUUGUAAACCUCUUUCAGCACCGACGAAGCGCAAGUGACGGUAGGUGCAGAAGAAGGACCGGCCAACUACGUGCCAGCCGCCGCCGUAA
Molecule: ribosomal RNA, 478 nt
Filed under: uncultured bacterium
Lineage: Bacteria
Description: partial 16S ribosomal RNA
Rfam family: Bacterial small subunit ribosomal RNA
Source: RNAcentral